CAGCCGCCGCGGGAAUACGAAGGGUGCAAGCGUUAAUCGGAAUUACUGGGCGUAAAGCGUGCGUAGGCGGUUUGUUAAGUCUGCUGUGAAAUCCCCGGGCUCAACCUGGGAAUGGCAGUGGAUACUGGCAAGCUAGAGUGUGUCAGAGGAUGGUGGAAUUCCCGGUGUAGCGGUGAAAUGCGUAGAGAUCGGGAGGAACAUCAGUGGCGAAGGCGGCCAUCUGGGACAACACUGACGCUGAGGCACGAAAGCGUGGGGAGCAAACAGGAUUAGAGACCCGCGUAGUCCCUGUCUCUUAUAA
Molecule: ribosomal RNA, 301 nt
Filed under: uncultured bacterium
Lineage: Bacteria
Description: partial 16S ribosomal RNA
Rfam family: Bacterial small subunit ribosomal RNA
Source: RNAcentral